UUUUAUGAUGAAUACAUUCGCGUGAACAAUCUCUGAAUCAAAACCCUUUGGGUUUUAGGAUUAGAAAACUUAUGUUGCCUUCCUUCUGAUA
This is a small nucleolar RNA of 91 nucleotides. It matches the Rfam family "Small nucleolar RNA snR52".